RNAcentral lists this ribosomal RNA (721 nucleotides) under uncultured archaeon. Its description in RNAcentral is "partial 16S ribosomal RNA". The record is from RNAcentral.
UAUCUAAUCCGGUUUGCUCCCCCAGCUUUCAUCCCUACCGUCGAGCGCGUUCUGGCGAGACGCCUUCGCCACUGGUGGUCCUCACGGAUCAGAGGAUUUUACCCCUACCCGUGGAAUACCCCUCGCCUCUCCCGCCUCCUAGUAUAGCAGUAUCCUCCGCAGCCCGCCUGUUGAGCAGGUGGAUUUAACGGAGGACUUACUAUACCGGCUACGGAUGCUUUAGGCCCAAUAAUCAUCCCGACCACUCGGGGUGCUGGUAUUGCCGCGGCGGCUGACACCAGGCUUGCCCACCCCUUAUUCACCAGCCUGUUUAGAGCUGGCAAAAGACUCCUUUAGCAGGAGCCACUCGGACUGACCCCGUCGGGCUUUCGCCCAUUGCGGAGGUUUCGCGCCUGCUGCGCCCCAUAGGACCUGGGCCCUUGUCUCAGUGCCCAUCUCCGGGCUCCUCCUCUCAGAGCCCGUACCGGUUAUAGGCUUGGUGGGCCAUUACCCCACCAACAACCUGAUCGGACGCAGUCCCAUCCUAAGGCCAUAUAGAUUUGAGCCAUAAUCCAUUCCAGAAACUAUGACCUAUCGAGGUUUAUCUCCAGUUUCCCGGAGUUAUCCUCGUCCUCAGGGUAGGUUGACUACGUGUUACUGAGCCAUGCGCCACCCUUUCGGGUUGACUCGCAUGGCUUAGUCCCAAUCCGAUAGCAGUCGGGUCCGGCGGGAUCAACCGGAA